UGAGGAAUAUUGGUCAAUGGGUGCAAGCCUGAACCAGCCAUGCCGCGUGAAGGAUGACGGCCCUAUGGGUUGUAAACUUCUGUUGUACGGGAAAAAACCUCUGGUCGUGAAUCAGAGCUGAUGGUACCGUAAGAAUAAGCAUCGGCUAACUCCGUGCCAGCAGCCGCGGUAAUACGGAGGAUGCAAGCGUUAUCCGGAUUCAUUGGGUUGAAAGGGUGCGCAGGCGGAAUAAUAAGUCAGCGGUGAAAGCCUACAGCUUAACUGUAGAACUGCCAUUGAUACUGUUAUUCUUGAGUGUUGUUGAGGUAGGCGGAAUGUGUCAUGUAGCGAUGAAAUGCUUAGAUAUGACACAGAACACCGCUCGCGAAGGCAGCUUACCACGCAACAACUGACGCUCAUGCACGAAAGCGUGGGGAUCAAACA
This 423-nucleotide ribosomal RNA is filed under the name uncultured bacterium. Its description in RNAcentral is "bacterial SSU rRNA". It matches the Rfam family "Bacterial small subunit ribosomal RNA", at positions 355 to 774 of the family's 1533-position model. The record is from RNAcentral.